AAAGCACGAUGAGGGGAUCCCAAGUGCUUGCUCGUAAGAGUAAGCUGUUUUUAUGUCUAAAAUGCAUAGAGAGUAAGGGCUGGGUAAGACGGGUGCCAGCCGCCGCGGUAAUACCUGCAGCUCAAGUGGUGACCGCUAUUAUUGGGCCUAAAACGUUCGUAGCCGGUUUGGUAAAUGCCUGGGUAAAUCGUGUAGCUUAACUAUACGAAUUCCGGGUAGACUGCCAAACUUGAGACCGGGAGAAGCUAGAGGUACUCCUUGGGUAGAGGUGAAAUUCUGUAAUCCUAGGGGGACCACCAGUGGCGAAGGCGUCUAGCUAGAACGGGUCUGACGGUGAGGGACGAAGCCCUGGGGCGCAAACCGGAUUAGAUACCCGGGUAGUCCAGGGUGUAAACGCUGCUUGCUUGAUGUUAGUUGGGCUCCGAGCCCAACUAGUGUCGGAGAGAAGUUGUUAAGCAAGCUGCCUGGGAAGUACGGUCGCAAGACUGAAACUUAA
RNAcentral lists this ribosomal RNA (496 nucleotides) under uncultured archaeon. Its description in RNAcentral is "bacterial SSU rRNA". It matches the Rfam family "Archaeal small subunit ribosomal RNA", at positions 362 to 859 of the family's 1478-position model. The record is from RNAcentral.